GACGAACGCUGGCGGCGUGCUUAACACAUGCCAGUCGAACGGAAAGGCCCUGCUUGCAGGGUACUCGAGUGGCGAACGGGUGAGUAACACGUGGGUGAUCUGCCCUGCACUUCGGGAUAAGCCUGGGAAACUGGGUCUAAUACCGGAUAGGAGCCAUUUUUAGUGUGAUGGUUGGAAAGUUUUUUCGGUGUAGGAUGAGCUCGCGGCCUAUCAGCUUGUUGGUGGGGUAAUGGCCUACCAAGGCGGCGACGGGUAGCCGGCCUGAGAGGGUGGACGGCCACAUUGGGACUGAGAUACGGCCCAGACUCCUACGGGAGGCAGCAGUGGGGAAUAUUGCACAAGGGGCGCAAGCCUGAUGCAGCGACGCCGCGUGGGGGAGGACGGCCUUCGGGUUGUAAACUCCUUUCGCUAGGGACGAAGCUUUUUGCGACGGUACCUAGAGAAGAAGCACCGGCUAACUACGUG
RNAcentral lists this ribosomal RNA (465 nucleotides) under uncultured bacterium. RNAcentral's name for it is "partial 16S ribosomal RNA". It matches the Rfam family "Bacterial small subunit ribosomal RNA", at positions 28 to 507 of the family's 1533-position model. The record is from RNAcentral.